UGCCGGUGUCAAACCGGAGGAAGGCGGGGAGGACGUCAAGUCCUCAUGGCCUUUAUGACCAGGGCUACACACGUACUACAAUGGCCGGUACAACGGGCAGCCACUUCGCAAGAAGGCGCUAAUCCCAGA
This 129-nucleotide ribosomal RNA is filed under the name Candidatus Electrothrix gigas. RNAcentral's name for it is "partial 16S ribosomal RNA". It matches the Rfam family "Bacterial small subunit ribosomal RNA", at positions 1150 to 1278 of the family's 1533-position model. The record is from RNAcentral. Lineage: Bacteria; Pseudomonadati; Thermodesulfobacteriota; Desulfobulbia; Desulfobulbales; Desulfobulbaceae.